RNAcentral lists this ribosomal RNA (415 nucleotides) under uncultured prokaryote. RNAcentral describes it as "bacterial SSU rRNA". It matches the Rfam family "Bacterial small subunit ribosomal RNA", at positions 505 to 918 of the family's 1533-position model. The record is from RNAcentral.
GUGUCAGCAGCCGCGGUAAUACGUAGGGUGCGAGCGUUAAUCGGAAUUACUGGGCGUAAAGCGUGCGCAGGCGGUUUUGUAAGACAGAUGUGAAAUCCCCGGGCUUAACCUGGGAACUGCAUUUGUGACUGCAAGGCUAGAGUACGGCAGAGGGGGGUAGAAUUCCACGUGUAGCAGUGAAAUGCGUAGAUAUGUGGAGGAAUACCGAUGGCGAAGGCAGCCCCCUGGGUCGAUACUGACGCUCAUGCACGAAAGCGUGGGGAGCAAACAGGAUUAGAUACCCUGGUAGUCCACGCCCUAAACGAUGUCAACUAGGUGUUGGGGGAGGAGACUUCCUUAGUACCGUAGCUAACGCGUGAAGUUGACCGCCUGGGGAGUACGGUCGCAAGAUUAAAACUCAAAGGAAUUGACGGGG